GCAAGUCGAACGGCAGCACAGUAAAGAUUUCGGUCUUUAUGGGUGGCGAGUGGCGGACGGGUGAGUAAUACGUAGGAAUCUGUACUGGAGAGGGGGAUAACCCGAGGAAACUCGGGCUAAUACCGCAUGAUAUUGAGAAAUGAAAAGCAGGGGACCGGAAAGGGCCUUGCGCUCUGGGUUGAGCCUGCGUCGGAUUAGCUAGUUGGUGGGGUAAAGGCCUACCAAGGCAACGAUUCGUAGUUGGUCUGAGAGGAUGAGC
This 259-nucleotide ribosomal RNA is filed under the name uncultured bacterium. RNAcentral's name for it is "partial 16S ribosomal RNA". It matches the Rfam family "Bacterial small subunit ribosomal RNA", at positions 57 to 305 of the family's 1533-position model. The record is from RNAcentral.